CAAGAAAUACGAGGAAAAAAACAAGAAUAAGAACCUAAAAUAAAAUAAACCAAAAUAUUACUCUUUCCGUGCUGAGUUGACAACUUCUGCAUUAAUUGCCAAAUCCUCUCCUCUUUGAAAUAAAACCAACAAAAGCAACAAUUUUGGCACCGAAUAUACUUUUCAUAAUUCAUCCCAACAAUGCUCAUUAGGUGCGUGAGAAAAAAAAAGAGAAGAGAUCUUUAGAUGAAUUUUGCUUGCGUGACAAGAAAUUAAGACGUAAAAUUAAAGAGGUUGAAUUUUUCAUUAGAAUUGUUACGCCAAAUGAUACUCAACUUUGUGACUAAUUUAUUGCGAUGAUGAAACUGCGCGUAUUUCGCAACAGCAAAGACAACAAAAAUCGCGCACAUCUUUUUCAAAAAGGUCGGUCUAUCAAAUGUACAAUCUUCCAUGGAACAUUUGGGAGGAAAAGAAGGAAAACUUGAAAGGAACGAAAAAAGCUUCUUCAGCAGAAAAGUAGUCAAAGAAAGAAUUCUUCGCGAAUCGAUUCAUUCUGUGCCAGAUUUGGUGGUAUAUUGCAAUGAGGAAACUUUGCACGCCAUGGGGAAGAAUGGGAGGAAUUUUAGAAAAGAAUUUGUCAAGGAAGAAGGGAGUUUUGUGACUUAAUGUGCUCCCUUUUCAGGUGGCUACGGUGGUGGUUAUGGAUUUGGUGGGGGUUUUCUUGGCGCCGGUGCAGGAAACCCCUAUGACACGUACAGAGGUCCAUACGGGCCACCCCAGAUGAUGGAUUAUUCGGGCUUUGGAACAGGAUUUAGCGGCGGCGGUCUGGGUGCUGACUAUGGUGGGCACACAGGAUAUGGAUUCUUUCCUGAACCACCUUCCCAUCAGUACAGCGCUAAGUCCCUCUUCCUCCCCCUGGCCGGGGCGGCACUUUUGGGGGUGGCGGCGGCACUAGUGGCCAAUCCUGUUCUCCUGCAACUCGGUGUGAUUUCCGGCAAACGACGGAAACGUAGCAUCACAGACGACGACCAUGCACAUAAAUUGGCUUACAGAGAGCAAAUAAGGAGGUAAUCCUCGUGCAGGACAACACACCCAACGGUCUUGCUAAAUUGCAUGAAAUUCUCCUGCUGCUUGAGAACUUUGUUCAGGAUCAUUGCAAUUUUUUUAUGUGUAAGAAUUUUCUAUAUAUGGCAAAUACAUUAUAAUUUAUAGUGAGAA
Lutzomyia longipalpis is the source of this 1197-nucleotide long non-coding RNA. RefSeq lists it as uncharacterized. The transcript is spliced from 2 exons. Lineage: Eukaryota; Metazoa; Arthropoda; Insecta; Diptera; Psychodidae. The record is from RefSeq and is a predicted model, not a curated record.